This 374-nucleotide ribosomal RNA is filed under the name Staphylococcus aureus. RNAcentral describes it as "partial 23S ribosomal RNA". It matches the Rfam family "Bacterial large subunit ribosomal RNA", at positions 1 to 367 of the family's 2925-position model. Lineage: Bacteria; Bacillati; Bacillota; Bacilli; Caryophanales; Staphylococcaceae. The record is from RNAcentral.
AGAUUAAGUUAUUAAGGGCGCACGGUGGAUGCCUUGGCACUAGAAGCCGAUGAAGGACGUUACUAACGACGAUAUGCUUUGGGGAGCUGUAAGUAAGCUUUGAUCCAGAGAUUUCCGAAUGGGGAAACCCAGCAUGAGUUAUGUCAUGUUAUCGAUAUGUGAAUACAUAGCAUAUCAGAAGGCACACCCGGAGAACUGAAACAUCUUAGUACCCGGAGGAAGAGAAAGAAAAUUCGAUUCCCUUAGUAGCGGCGAGCGAAACGGGAAGAGCCCAAACCAACAAGCUUGCUUGUUGGGGUUGUAGGACACUCUAUACGGAGUUACAAAGGACGACAUUAGACGAAUCAUCUGGAAAGAUGAAUCAAAGAAGGUAA